UAUGCUUGUUGGUGAGGUAACGGCUCACCAAGGCGAAGAUCGGUAGCCGGCCUGAGAGGGCACACGGCCACACUGGCACUGAAACACGGGCCAGACUCCUACGGGAGGCAGCAGUGGGGAAUCUUGCACAAUGGGGGAAACCCUGAUGCAGCGACGCCGCGUGAGCGAUGAAGCCCUUCGGGGUGUAAAGCUCUUUCGACGGGAACGAUAAUGACGGUACCCGGAGAAGAAGCUGCGGCUAACUACGUGCCAGCAGCCGCGGUAAUACGUAGGCAGCGAGCGUUGUUCGGAGUUACUGGGCGUAAAGAGUAUGUAGGCGGUUGCGCAAGUUUGGUGUGAAAUCUCCCGGCUCAACUGGGAGGGUGCGCCGAAAACUGCGUGGCUAGAGUGCGGGAGAGGAGAGCGGAAUUCCUGGUGUAGCGGUGAAAUGCGUAGAUAUCAGGAGGAACACCGGUGGUGUAGACGGCUCUCUGGACCGCGACUGACGCUGAGAUACGAAAGCGUGGGGAGCAAACAGGAUUAGAUACCCUGGUAGUCCACGCCCU
RNAcentral lists this ribosomal RNA (545 nucleotides) under uncultured bacterium. RNAcentral describes it as "bacterial SSU rRNA". It matches the Rfam family "Bacterial small subunit ribosomal RNA", at positions 241 to 803 of the family's 1533-position model. The record is from RNAcentral.